This 73-nucleotide transfer RNA is filed under the name Amphibalanus amphitrite. RNAcentral describes it as "tRNA-Ser". It matches the Rfam family "tRNA". From Rfam's summary of the family: Transfer RNA (tRNA) molecules are approximately 80 nucleotides in length. Their secondary structure includes four short double-helical elements and three loops (D, anti-codon, and T loops). Lineage: Eukaryota; Metazoa; Arthropoda; Thecostraca; Balanomorpha; Balanidae. The record is from RNAcentral.
GGUCUGUAUAGCUCAGAGGUAGAGCAUUGGAGCGCUAAUCCAAAGGCCCGGGGUUCGAAUCCCCGUACAGCCC